Molecule: unclassified non-coding RNA, 244 nt
Filed under: Hevea brasiliensis (rubber tree)
Lineage: Eukaryota; Viridiplantae; Streptophyta; Magnoliopsida; Malpighiales; Euphorbiaceae
Source: RNAcentral
CUCCAACCCCACUUCAUUUCCUUCGAAACUACGUCUCUCCAAACAAACCCUGUAUCAUCUCCAACGCCAUCACCCACUGGCCUGCUCUCUCUCUCUGGCCCAACCUCUCCUACCUCUCCCAUUCCCUCUGCCACUCCUCCGUUUCCCUCCACCUCACCCCUCAUGGCCGUGCUGAUUCCCUCGUCCCCUCCACCCCCACCCAUCAUUCCUUCUGCUUUGCCUCCGCUAACGUGCAGCAAGUGCC